Molecule: long non-coding RNA, 15085 nt
Filed under: Panicum hallii
Lineage: Eukaryota; Viridiplantae; Streptophyta; Magnoliopsida; Poales; Poaceae
Description: long non-coding RNA (PHAL_LNC000262)
Source: RNAcentral
UUUUUUUUUGUUUUACAACGGGUCGCUCAUUUUGCGACGCAUCCGUUCAUCUUCUUCUGGGAACAAAGGUUUUAGAAAAGAGGGAAUUUGGGUGCCAGGUCUCUCCAGAUUUCACGAUAAUAUUAGAGAUAGCUAGCUCAUGGUAUUGGUCGUCUUUAGUAUUGCCUCUAGAUGACAUGGCAUGGGUUUCAAGAUGUAGUGGAUUUUGUUGUUGAACUUGUUCUAAGAAAAAAAAAGAACAGGAGUAUACGAGAACUUCAAAGGUCCACAUAUUUCACUCCCUCCAUUUUGUAAUAUAUUUGACACUUUUGAUUAUAUCAGACGAUAUACCAUGGAUGUUAUGCAAAAUAUACUAAAUUACCAUUCAGUUCACAAUACGAAGAUGUGUUCAAGAACAAAGAUGCUGGAACUUGUACUGCUCUUUUCAUCCGUAGAGCAACUCAUCUAUUGAUAGCACAAAAAGAAUAGCCCUCGGCAUCUUUGCUUCCGGUUGAUGGGUUGCUAUUACCAUGUCAAGGCUGUUAAGAAUUAGAAUAACCAGCACUCAUCAGGGUUGGGCAGUCCAUUGGAGAGAUCCGUGCAUUCUACUUCGAACGUGGAUUCCUGGUAAUGUUUGAUUAACUUAUGACCACCAUGUGGCGGCUCUUGAUGUACACAUGAUGUGAGUAACUGAGCUCGCAUUGUAUUUCCUUUAAGGGUGACGGUCCACAACCACGGCCGGUUUCAUCAUGGUGAGGAUGGAUACAGAGGACAGUGAUGAUGCAUCCAAGCUGUUGCCUCACCGCAUUCAACAGGAACAGAUACAGGCCGCCGUGGAUGGUCCCUUGCUUGCUGUCAGCAGUGGCACAGUCAGCGAGGAGAAAAUUGAAACCAUCAUGGAGUUGGAGCUUGAAUUCGUAAUCAUCGUCAUCCUUGUAGUUCAUGGUGGCAGCCUUGACCGUGGUGGUCACGGCAUGCCGAACAGAUGACAUGCCCCACGUUGCGCUGCAUGCAGAGGAAUAUGUAAUCGGUAUAUUUGUUCAGAUAAAUUGUACAUGAAUGAUCAAUAAUAUACUCUCGUGUGUUUGGAUUUCGGACACAAAACCAGGUAAUAGAGACUGAAGUUGCUUAAAAUAUUUGAAGGCAAAUUCAAUUUCUAUGCCAAAAAUGUUUUUUAUUUCUGUAAUCUUCUUUAAACAAGCUACUAAGCUACGCUUGAAAUGUCUUGAAAUAGAUACCAAGUGGAUGAAAAUUGCUUGAAAUAGAUACGAACUGGAUGGAAAAUUCCAAUACCAUAUGCUGCUACUAUUCUAGGCAUUUGUUUCUGGUAAUUGCUCCAUAGGAGAGAAAAGUAACAUAUAUGUAUUGUCGUCAGACUAUAAUUCUACGAAAUUCACUCUGGAUCAGUUGGGUGUGUCUUGUGGUUCUCAAUGUAAGAUAUGCUAAUUCGAUAAUAAAAUAAUAUCUGUAGUCCAGUGUCAAGAUGUGUCCAAAAUUGCUGAUCUUACAAGGAAUAAGGUUAUUGAGCUAUGAGAGACUUUAUAAAUUUUAGCAGACCAUCAGCCCACGCCUCAAUAGGAUGAUGAAGUUGGUGCUGUGGGCAGCAUGGAAAUUGCUUGGGUAAAAAUCAGGAACCCACGUUUACAAAUUGUUCGAUGGUUAGUGCUAGUUCAAGUUAUAUCCAGUGUGAAGGAAAACAUUAUGCUCCUGAUGGGGAUGAGGAGAGCAAAUGGAUUCUGGGUAUUUUUAGACGCUUAGACCAAAUGGCCCUUAAUAUGCAUACUGUUGGUUGUUCAGGGACCACGGAACUAGAAGCGGUGGAAUGUGCAACAAUAUCAUAACGUUAAUGAUAUGGAUGGCAGUAAAUUUUUGCACACAGAUACAGGCAUGUAACACAGAAGGUCAGCUAAGUACCAAAGAGUUACUGACAGCAGAAACAGAGUCAGCAAUAGCCUUCAAGAGUGUUAUGGUUGGGUGCAGAAGGUUGUGGGGCGAUCCAAAUAAGGCUCUGGAUUCACCCAUUCAGAAUCAAAAUAACAGAAAAAGGGAAAGUGAGGUCGGGUGCAGGAUAGGAGUGCCUUCAGAGGGUCUUCAAUUGACGGAUAUUGUGGUUCCGUUGGUUUCUAGCCCUGUGGGCAUGGUGAUUAUCAAGAGAAAAAGGUUUCUAGGUCACUUGAGAGGGUGGAGCCAGAAGAGGGUCUCAAGGCUGCUGAUGGUCACGGACACUCAUGUUCCAUAGAAGUUUCAAUCGGGGAUUCAGGUUUAGAUCCUUGCCUUAGUUGUGUGAAGUCAAAACGGGAUUGUGGACCAAAUUGAUUAAGGAGUACAAGACUUGUUCGAGGCAUUGAGACAACGACAAGGCUCAGGAACAGGUAAAAUCGGCAAUUUGGAGGGCAUCAAGAAGAGGUCAGGAUCCAUUUUCAUCAACCAGAAGACUACGCUACAUGUAUCCAAGAGAACAAAUUUGGAGUGUCACUCAUCUUCUGUUCUUGUGUGUCGAUGUACUGAGUACACAGAGCCAGUACAGUGCCCCUCUGCAGCUCGGAAUGUUGGCUCCGGAAGAUUAUGCUGCUUUUGGUACUCGGCAACUCGGAUAGCAAUGGGGAUUGGUUGCAGGACUCGUGGAUUGGAUCAAAGGAUGAGCUCUUCCGUGGAUUCAAUCGAUUACGGCUCGAUCCGACGCAUGGAUCGAUGAGUGCAUUCGAUUCCAUUGGUUAGGGAUCUAUCCGACGAAUGCGCAAGGAGUGCGCGUGCGUGUACCUGAAAGAUGGGGGGCUUCAGUGGGAGGAAGCACACGCCGCAGUCGAGGGCGUCGGUUUCCUCCACAGUCACGUCCCCGGCCGCCGCAGCUCCCUCUAGCUGCAUCCGUGACGGCGGCGGCGGCGGCAUUGCCGAAUGGGAGGAUCCGGAGCCCUUGCUCGUCUUGUGGACGCCAGCGCUUGCCUGAGCUGUGGUUGCCUUCUUCCGCACCGCUACGACAAGCAACCGCCGCGGCAACUCUCGCACUGGGAACGAUUCGCCGUCGCAAAGCCUCACCAUGACACCAUGGCUCGUCGACGGCUCUGCUCUGUGCUCUGGUGCCAAGCAGGCAAAUACUUCAAAAAUAAAAAGAAAUUUAUUUGAAAAAAAACAGAAAUGAACACGUAGAUUUCCUUGUCAAACACACAUACGUAUACAUUCUUUUUUUUUCAUAAAUGCGGUAUUCGAAAACUAAACGUAAUGGUUACUGUACCUCUCUUUUAUGGUCCGAAGUGCAUAUUCAUGGCUUAUUUUAUUAAGGGAUGCUAUUUUUUUUCGCAGUUCACAUAUUACUCUUUUGUAAAACACAACAUCCCUAUAAACCACAUUGGGUCACAAACCUGAAUGCAUAAAUUCUAUCAUAUAUACUCGGCGGAGGGAUAAAAAGAUAUAACCGCCUGGGUUAAGCACUUAUUUUUCAAACCAAUUAAUUAUAAAAUCAUUUACCAUGUUGUUAAAUACAAUAAAACUCCAACAAUACGAAUAAACUGCUGUUUUUCAACACAUCAAUUUCAAAUUAUAAAGUACAAAGAAAUUGUAGCAGAAUGAACAAAGGGUUAUUUUUUCUUGAGGAUUCCUGAGGCGGUGAACCUUUCAUAACAGAGCUCAUCUCUACUUUCGUUUCAUCCAAGAUUUGUUUGAACGAAAGUAGCGCUGACGGCCAAGGAACUACGGGGAACAAAACGAUACAGAAAUGAAACAGAGGAUUGAGGUGGGGGCGGCACCACGACGUGGAUCAAUGGGCCGCAGAAGCAGCUCCAACAUUAUAACCAAACAGCAAGGACUAACUUUUAUAAUGCAAAUAUACGCAGCAGACAGACAGAUCCAAGAGGAAUACGUGUAAGUCCAUUGUGCUGUCUUAGUUGUGCAAAGGUCUCAAGAAAAUCCAGCGUUGUUGUACACGCAACUGGGUGCAUAAAAUCUAUAAAUCUUUUUUGACUGAAUAUCCAACAAAUUUGGGACCGAGCACAUAUAAUAUAUAGUGCCAUCCAGCCUACAACCACAUUUAUUUGGGACCGCUGACCAGGCCAGGUCACCUCAUCAGCUGAUCAGUCUUCCAAUGGCUCCAGCACAUGAACGGCACCAUUGCUCAUGCCGAGUGCGAUCUGGUUAGGAUUCAGCAAGGGAUACGCAGAAACAGCCAUAGGAUACACGACUUCACCUCCGCUGGAUAUAAAGAUGCAACCAGAAGAUAGUACCAGUAAGAUAUUGUUGACUCAACAGAAACUGUUGGAGACGGCACAUACCUAGAUAUUGAAGAAGGUAUAUAGGCUGAAGGUGCAAUCCUGCAUCGUAACCUAAGAGAUUCCGCUUCGAAUAUUCCAAUUGCUCCAUCGCGGAAUCCCGCGUAGACCAAGAGACCGUCAGAUGUGUACACUGCACUUGAAAUUGGAGAAGGGAGUGCAUCUCUUGGGGACCACUGCAUUAUCAAGUAAUGGUGACUAAGCAUCAGUGUGAUGAUUGCAAUAUGUACAUUUUUGAUAUUAGGAUCAUCAUAAUAUUUAUAUCUAACACUUCUACCACAAUGUAAUACGGUAUGUCACCACUCAACGCAAGAUUGCAUAUAUGCUAAUAAUAAGUAAUAAAUGCAAAUACGUUGUUACAGAAAUGUUCAUGAAUAACUAACCGAGUGUAGGCAUUCAAGCUUCCCAUCAUAGAUCGCCAACUGGCUCUCAUGAACUACUAAAAGAUGUGUUUGGUCAUAGUGAAACUGCACCAUUGUAUCACCAACUAAAGCAGAACCAUUAGAUGGAGGUCGGAUGUAUCUUGAUUUCUUGUUCUCCCAAUUGCGAGUGCUCCAAACACAUAGCUGCAAAAUUUCAUAUAUUAAAAAAAACUAUACAAAAACAAGUAUAGUUUUAAUUCUCACGUCUAAAUUUCAUAUGGAGAAAAAAUAAUUGUCCUUGCAAUCAAGAUUCCAUCUUUAAAUUUCUUUGGACAAAAGAAUGGCCUAAAAUUGUACUGAUAUGAAAUAAGGAGGUUGAGGCUAUGCUCACAUGCACAAAGCUUACAUUUAACUCAGCCUUCAUUUUAAUAAACAACCCAAAAUAAUACUUGGUAGCAUUAGAAUUCACACCUGAGCAUCAGCGCCUGAAGAUACAAGCACGUUCAUCGAUUGCGAGAAUGUCAGUCCAGUUACCUUUUUCUGAUGGCCCAUAAGCACCCUUCGGACCUACGCAAUUCAAUCAUAAUAUGUCAAUAUUUGGCAUGUUGAUGUUAAAUAUAAAUAAACCUAAGGAAUAUGGUGUAAGGCAAGAAUACGGUGUAUUUGAUGUUCUGUAGCAAAGCACACACGAUCAACUAGUAAUUAAGUAAAAGCAAGAGGAGGUAUGUAGUCUGAAAUGACAGCGAGGUAUUUCACAAGAGGUACACGGAACUUCCUAUGAGUAUCAUAAUACACUGAAAGUGACAGUUUUAAUUUGCCCAAGGUGUCACCUAUACCCCUUAAUGAUAGCCAAUUUAUUUAGGUCAUGCAAAGCAGGGGACAACAGAGACUAACCAUUAAUACUCACCUCAUCAGUGCGGACAUUAUAGAUUUGAAUUGAAGAGUCCUCCAUCCCAAUAGCAAUGAUGUUAUUGUCUUGUGGGUAGAAUGCAAGGAAAGUCGAGGCAGGUGGAGGUGGCAUGAAAGUAGCCAUGGUCUGUGAGAGAUUCACAAAAUUAGUGAAGUCAAUGAAAGGCCAUGGCAUAAUCAUGAAACAAAAAUUAGUUUACAGAAGCUGUCAUACUAUGAGAGCUCAAUCAUGAAAGUAACCGCAUAUUGGUGACGCUGAAGAAAAGUACCUUGAAUGUCUUCGCGUUGAACAGCGAGAUUUUGCCACCAGAUGCAGAAAUUAUAUAGCACUCAAUUUUUGAUAGGGCAAUGCAGGCAGCUGCUGCUCCAGUGUUGGCUUCAAUUGUGUCGUUUGUCAUUAGAAUACCUUCUUCCGGUUGCCACAGUAGAGGUGCAACAGAUGCGGUGGGCUAACAAAAAGUUAUGACAGCUUUUAGAAAAUAACUAAAAAGAACUACAAUGUCAAAAUAAAAAUAAUUCAGUUCUCCCAUGCAUCUAACCCUGCCACGAGGAUUUUUUUCACUGGACCCCCAUUUCCACAGCUUAAGAAUAGCAUUGGAGCUGAGAGUCAAAAGAUAUUUCCCGUUAUUUGCAUACAGAAGACGGAGAACCUAUGAAGGAGAAAAGAAAUAAAAACAGUACUUUAUCAGAAUUUUGUACUAUACUGCUCUGAAUCUGACCAUAAUCUCUUUAAUACUGUAGCACAAAAUGAGUAUCACAUCAAAAGACAAUAUGAACAAUAAGGACAAAUAUAAAAAUUUGUGAAGUAAACACGUGCAAACAUCAAUUGAUAUUAUGACCUUCCCUGGCUUAAAUAGAAUAUGAGCUCAUAUGUUUGAGGUUGAUGUUGCAUGCUAAAUAUUUAUAAGUUAUAACUCAACAAGGGCAUACUAAUACCAAAAAAAUUAGAUGCAAAAAUUGGUGAACAUACUUUGGUGGAAGAUGCUUCUGGAUCUGGGGGAAUACGCAGUGCUCGAAUAUGUCCAGAGUCAACGAUGUCCGCCGACUUCCAGGCCUUCAGUACGAAGUCAGGGGUUCUGCUAACAUCCAUACGUGCCUACAUUUUGUUCGUUAUAGUUAGCACAUGAACAUAUUAAGCAGCAAAUAAACAAAGAAAAAGAUCGUGGAAGAGUAGCUGGCAACUCUUGUGUGUCAUGAGCUUUCUGCAAUAGAACUACAGUACACACUAUCCAAAUAGAACAAGGGCGUUCAUAAUGGUAUGGCUGGAGCAAAAGUGGGGUUAUUUUCCUUCAAUUUUUUACGGUCCUUAAGGAGUUAUCACACUUUUUUUUUCUAUUUAGAGGUGCUGAAAAACUUAAUCAAGCUCUUAUAGUAACAAACUGUAAUUAAUGAAGGGCAGCUAAUAAGUCAUUGGCUUUUCCCACUAGGCUGUCUAAAAAUCCUACAUUAUUUGUCGUACAGGUGGAGUACAAUUGAAGGGAAGAAGGAAUGAAGUCAAUUCUAGAAUAUUAGGGUAGCUAGACUUAACUUGCAGGUAGGAGCCAAUGACAGAACAGCCGAGAGAUUAGGAGUAGCUUGAUUUGACUCGCAGUUUAGCAACGAAUUAAUCCGAUAGAAAUUUAUUGAGCCCAUCAGGGCAGCUCCAGUGUGUGUUUUUUGAGGGUGCUAGAAAGAGAGAAAAAUAAUGUAGAGGGUGCAAUACACUGGAGAGAAUCUUGUAUGGGAUGUUAUCCUGGCACCUGGUGCUUAAUUUUGCACCUGGUUCCUAGAAUAAAAAAAUAUUUGGUGCCUCUGCAUUUAUUGGCCUGCUGCACUUCGGUUUAGACACUACAUGGAGCUGCACGUGGGGAUGGUGGGAGAGAAUGGGGUUUUUUUUCACUUCCCUACCUGCUAACAUGGGUCCCACUAGAAAUUGCUAUAUGCUGGAGCAAAAUUUACCAAGCUAGCACCUUAUGUGUGCGUCCUAUAUUAGGACUACCAAUGAUGCUAUACGUUGUGGAUGCCCUCACAAGGCAGAGGCAGGAGAGAAGAAUCAAUAAGAGAAGCAAUAAUUACUUAAAUGGAGCCAUCAGCUUUUGAAAACAUAAAAUUGCUCAGUCAAUCAAUGUGCAUGCAUGAUCAGUUCGUACCUCUUGGUAGAUUGAGAGCAUUUCUUCUUCCUGCCUCCGUAUUGUUUCAAGAUCGGGACGUUUGGGAUGGACGGCGGCCGUGCGCUCCAACGCAUCCUCCAUAUCCUCCACGUCCAAAAUACGGGCACCUUCACAGUUCACUCUCACGGUGACACUCUGGAGCGAUGUUCUUCCGAGGGUCUCGAAACCAAUAAGCAACCUGCCAAAACUAAGCAGGGCCGCAUCUUUUAGGAGCCGCACACUGACUUCAAACUCAAGGGAUUCAAGACUUGGCAUGAUAGUAGAUGCAACACUGCCGUUGCUGACGCAAUCGUGCAGAUCAAACCAGGAAGGUGCACCAUAGAUCUUCAAGAUUCUAACCUUUCGAAAGUAGUAGCCAACACCUUGAGCCGUACAAGAAAUCUUUAUUUUAUUUAAUUUGGUUUCAUCACACAAUAUCAGUGUGAGGCUACGGAGCUCUGGCAACCUCGCAAGGGUUUCCAUGUCCUGCCCUUUAACAGCUCGCACUCGCACAUGCAGAUAGGAGAGGUUUGGAGCAAGCGAUGCAUUUAUCCACUUAGGCAGUCUAGAGAACACGAGGCAGUUCAAAUACAGGUAUUGGAGAUGACGACAGGUGAUGAAUCCUUCAUGACUCGUCAUGCUCUUAACAACAUAUAGCGGUGAGUCAUCAAUAAACAUCAUCGGGAUAGUGUGCAGAUUGCCUAGGAACACCAUAUAGCUUAGAAUUCCGUUAUCACCAUCUGGCGGUACGCCCUCAAUGUGCAUCAUCCGGAUAUUGUGCAGAUUGCCUAGGGACUCCAGCAAAGCUCUCGCCAUGCUUUCAUCCCUGACAUGAAUUUGAGUCCAGAGCACCCUCAGGUCCCGCAGCAUGCCCAGCUCCUUCACAAACUGCAUUCUUCUAGCAUCAUCAUAAUCAUCAUCAGCAGGAGGCCAUCUCACCAGCUCUUGCAACGAGGUCAGUUUACCUAUCAAACCAUCUGGAAUCCUUGUUUCCGGACCAACACGCAGGCAAACCAGUUGCGUCAGCAGUCCCACCUCCUCGGGCAGCUCAUUUAUGCGGAAUUUCAAUAAAUCCAGUGUCUGCAGAAACUUGAGAUAUCUCACUUCCCUGGGCAGUUUGAUAUUAGUUUCUCCAACUGAUGAUGCUAACCGGAGGUACCUUAUGUGAAGCAUACUCCCAAGAUGAUUUAUCAUACCUUCGUGUAUUUUUUCUCCAUUGUAACAGCCUUGCAUAUCUAAUACACGUAAAACUGGAGUGUGUGGGCAUGAUGACGGACCAAAAUUGCACUCACUGGUAAUAAAGGAUCUUAUUUUAUCCACAGCAAUAUUAGCUAGCAGUUGACCGCCGCUGUGCUGUUCGAUCCGCUGCAGGGCUAUCCUGCGAGCAAUGCUUCCCGGAAGUUUCUGUCGCUCAUCAUCGCCAUCCAAUACCGUGACAAAAUUUUCUUGGCUCGACAAUGAGCGGACCAAAUCAAAAACCAUAUCAUGAACACGGCAACAAUCUACAUACCCUAAAAAUCUCUCUACUGGCUGGAUCAUGCUUCUGUUUAUCAAUUCAUUGAAGUACCUCUCCCCGAGCUCAAAUAAUCUGAUGCCUUCUGCUCGUUCCUCAUGGACGAAACCUUCAGCUACCCACAUCCAUAUCAAAUUAUUUUUCCCUAUCUCUUGAUCUUCUGAAAAUAUGCUUAGGUACAGUAAGCAAGGCUUUAGAUGUGAAGGCAGGUCAUAAUAGCUGAAAGACAAUAUCUUUCUAGUAUUAUCUACGUCAUCAUUGCCUCCCUGCCCAAAACCAAUAGAGUUGUAGACCUCAGACCAGUCCUCCCAUGAUUUACUGGCUAACAAACUGGCUAUUGUAAUGAUAGCUAAUGGCACACCACCACAUUUCUUCAAAAUUUUGUCACAUGCCUCAGCAGAUGGACUAUCAAAGUACUUCCCUUCACCAUCAGCUAUUCUUGCAUACAAUAAUUUUUCAGAGUUGUCACGAGAAAGUGGUUGUAUUUUGUAAGCUUCGUCUGCAUGUGCAGCCACUUCACAAAUACGAGUUGUUACGACUACUCUACUUCCACAAUUACUGUCCUGCAGAGCGCAUCUGAUUAGUUUCCAUGAUUCCUUAUCCCAUAUGUCGUCAAUAACCAUGAAACACCUAUACAUUCACAUGAUAGCACAAAGAGGCUUGAGAUAGUAAUUAAAAUUAUCGAGGAGGCAUAUAAAAGUAGGUGUGCCAACCAUCUGAAAAAAAAAGUAUGGUAUUACCAACCAUAAAAAGGCCGGCUUGCUAUAUGGAUCAUCCACAAGGAGAAAGUACGGACAAAAAAUGGGUAUACCAACUAAAGAAUUCAUGAAUCACCUCAUCUUUGAUGUAUAUUUAUUACGGACAUCAAAAUCUAACAGAUGUGGUUUCAUUCUUUUGAGAACAAUCAUAGCAAUUACAUUUCAUUUUUUAUUUAAAACAGAAUUAAUGUCCAUUACAACUACAUGUUCUUUCUUGAUGAAAAUAUAUACAAGUUUAUUACUUUGUUUAUUACCAAUUUAAAUUAUUCUGCAUCAAUUAAUGAUGAACGUAAUAAUUUCGAGAGUUGAGAUGGAAGAAAACAUGCUAGCCUCUUUCAGCCUUAUGUAAUAAAAUAAAUAAACUAUAAAGAAAUAUUUUUACAGCUAUUGAAAUUAGAAGCUGCUAUAUGUAAGUUGUGAUCAGCAUUGGAUCAGUGAUUAUACUCCCUCGUACCUCUUGUCCUUAACGAACUCCUUAAGUUUAUCCAUGAGCUGCUUUUCAUCGAGCACCAUCAAUUUUGAAUUUGCAUACUCUCCACUGUCAAGAUCAAUGAGAAUGUCUCUAAGAACUUUCUUCACGUCAGGGUUUCGACCCACAGGAACAAAAGCGCUGCGUUCGAAAUGUGAUUUAAGCUGGUCGUGGACAGCUUUGGCAAGAGUGGUCUUUCCUAGUCCUCCAAAUCCAAAGACAGAGACGAUCUUCAUCUUCUUAUCAGGCACAUCAACAUCACCCCCUAGGGACAGCAAGCUUAUGAGCUCAUCCCUUGACCCCUCGAUGCCAACAAGCUCCGUUGCCCUUUUGUAUAGAUUCAUGAUGCGAGGAUCGAUGGUCGUCGCAGCUGCAGGCUUGGCGACAAUAAUGCUGUCGAGUGAGUACCUUCGACGCCUUGCUGCCACCUCCUCGAGCUUCUCGGUGAUGUCCUGGAUCAGGCAAGAGAUGUUGCGGCGAGCCUUGCUUUUCUUGAACAGGCCGCCCACCUUCUUCCGGAGGCGCCUGAGCAUGUGUGGGUCGGCAGGCUCAUCGAUGCGCACCAGGAAGUUGUCGACGAUGUCCUCCAUGUCGUAGGAUGCCUCCCUGACAUCGCGCACCCAGAGCCUGACAAGCUCGUCGAGCUGCUCCGGUGGCACGUCGCCGAUCCUGCGGAGGACGGCGUGCACGGCCUCGAGCUCCUGCGAGAGGGACUGGAUCUUCUUCCUCACGCCCUUCUGCAGGCCGUACUCCUCCUUGAGCAGCUCGCCGAGUUUGGGAAGCAGGCUUCCCAUCGCCCCCAUCACCAGCUCCAUGCUGCAAGCAACAAGCUCAGCAGGUGGCUCCUGCGCACAGCAGCUUGGUAAGUGUGUGGAAGAUCCUAUCUGUGUUGGUACUUGGUAGCACUGUGAGCAGCUAGCAUGUACUUGACAGUGAGGAAAGCUCACCUAAUUCUGCCACCAGCUCUUGGCCGGGGGAUCCACAGUGAGUCAGUGAGGAAAGUGCUCCUGGCGUCUCCGUCCAGAUCCAGCUGGUAGGGGAGGGAAGGGGUCGGUCUCUGACUCGGGGUGUUCCAUGUGAACACGGAGUGGACAGCCCGUUAAUCCAUUUGCCGUUGAUUUAUCUACUCUGGAGGUGGCAUCCUCGAGACCUCGACUCUAUCGCAGAUUCCUUGUGCUUCCCACGUGACAGUGACAGAGUUCAACGGCAUCCUCGUUUGGAAGCAUUGGUCUGGAGAAGUAGGGAUGAAAUCAUAGAUUUUUUUUUGACACGGCUCAUGAAAUCAAAGAAUUGGAUGAUCACGGCUCAAGUCGGCCCAUCAGGGCUGGUAGGUGAGCUCGCAACUCACUUUCUUCAAGCACAGGCGCUGGUCGGCGGCACAGGCUCCUGCCCAGUAACGAAGUAGCCCAAUCGGUGAUUGGGCCUUCCUGCCCUUGCUGCUCACUAAAUCACCGAGCCUGUGCUCGUGGCACAGACACAGUAAAAGAACAGAGAUAGAAAUAGCUAUCAUCUGACAAACUGAUAAAGAAUUCGAUUUAUCUAACCUCAUUUCCCUCACUAAUUUAAUUAGCUAACAUGCCCUAAAUAUCUCUAUACCUGACGAGUUUGUAGGAUAAAAGUUAUGAAUUUCAUUUUGAUUACAUGCACACUAGCAACCGUCUCAAAAAAAUGAUAAAGCUGUGCAACAGAGAAUAAGCAAAAGAAAGAGAGAUAGACUACCACCAAUUUCUAAAACAAAUUCUCAAAGAUAAAUAAAUAUUUAAUUAAUUAUAGAGUGCUAAGGACAUACAAAUAAAAUACUAUGCAAACUGAUGAAACCUUGGAGAGAAGGUACUAAUAUAGACAAGACGUUUAUCAAACAUAAGCACUCUUUUAUUGUUUGUUCCUUUUUGCAUUAUCAGCUCACGGGCCCUAUGGGCGCGCCAAAGACGCGCCAGAUUUCUAGUUGUAAUUUAAUUUUUCCUAUUUCAACAUAUUAUUAUUUUGUAUUUUUGAAUAGAAGUCUUGAAACUUAGUGAUUUAUUGUGCUUUAUGUUCAACAGUUUCAGAUGAAAUUUAUGAGUCUAUGAUUAAUUGCACAACUCUAUGUUAUAUCUUUGUAUAUAUGAUAGAAUUAGUACUAUGUGAUGCCAAAAAAUUUAGAUUUAUACUGUCAAAAAAAAUUGUCCUUUAAAAUUUUGAAGACCUAUUCUCCAGAACCUGAGCCCGACCCUGGUCAGCGACUGGCGCACCACAUCCAGCAGGAACAGGCACUGCAUGUCGACCCAGGUGGUGGCGCCGCCAUGAUCGCCAUCGAGGCGGACGAAAUUGAUCAGCCGUCCUUGAGGCGGACGCUGGACAUCUCGCCGGUCCUGACCUUGGUGGAGCACGGCCAGCCGUGGACGCCGGCAAAGUGAUCCAGGAGCGCCUCCGUCGGGCCGAUGAAGCUGCAGGCGUCGCCGGGGCACCGGCAGGGCGCGUGCAGGCACAGCUGCCGGUGGGCCUGCUGCUCGUAGUAGGCCGGUCUGGCCGCGCAGCCGUAGGCCACGUUCGGGCACGCGACGCGGGCGGACUCCACCGGGCGCUCCAUGGCGUGGCACCGGCGGAAGCCACCGGUGGAGCCACGGCACACGUGGCACUUGCGGUUAUCCCUGAGCUUGUCACGGCACGACGAGCACACCACAUGCCCCACGUCACACCGCGGGCAUGGAGCAUCCACAUUAGCCCAGGCCCCAGGAUCAAUAUAUAUUCAGGAAAAUAUAUAUUCAGGAAAUGGAUCAGUUUUAUAUCAUUAUGUGCAAGAUUGUUUAGAGAUUGAAAAAAUUAGAUGUAUCCUUCACCUACACUGCACACUCUCAAAAGAUCCUUUUUUUCAAGCAAAAAAUGCUUAUGUUUGUACAAUUUUAGUAUUUAAAUAGAGAUACAAUUGUAGUAGGCAGUCGUAUACCUCCGAAACAUAGUGGAAGUUAUAUACCUAUUCCAGUGCUAAAUUCCGUCAUCAGACAGUUCUUGUCCGAUGGUUUCAACUUUUCCGUUACUUGUGGCUCUGGAGUGUCAAAAAUCUUUGCCUCUUGAAAAAAAAAGGUGCUAAAUUAUGCAACGAUCUGUCUGCCUACCCGCACUGGAAGCAAGCAUGAACAGGUGCGAGCAUGUAGGAUGAGAACUACCUGGGAAGAUGGGGGGCUUCAGCGGAAGGUAGCAGUCGAGGGCGUUCGUGUCCUCCACCGCCACGACGCCACCUGCCGGCGGCACUGACGACGACGGACCGGAGGCGGAGGUGAUCAUUCUUGCCCGCUUCCGCUCCUUCACUUGUGCUGCCGCUGCAAGCCUCGCGCGUAGGUGAUCACCAACGAGAACGUCUCCAUCCGCGCCCGCACACCCCUCCCUUCUCUCCCUCUCGCUCUCAGUUCUGUAUCGAAUGAAAUGGGGAUAUAUAGUUCCACGGGAAACGAUUUGAUUUUCGAAAUGCAAUUUGAAUUUCGUUUUGACGCGGGUUUUGUGGAUGGCUUCCUCCGCAGACAAAGGUAACUGCUGGUAACGAGCAAGAAUUGGUAGCAGCUUGGAAGGAAACCAAAGAUUAGUUGAACUGACAAGCACGCAAAAAACUGAAUUCUCUCUCUGGAUUUUUAUGUAUCCUAUUAUUGUUUCUUUGCCGUCAUGGAAGUCCAUGGGCUUUAAGUUUAUUUUAUUAAUCUUAUUGGCCUAUCCAUUUAGGGUGAAAACGAAAUGAAAAAACUUUAGCAAACUCAAAUGUCGUAGGAGAAAAUUUCUACAACAACAUUUGGAAGUUGGAACAAAUAAAUAGCAUAAGAAAUUCUGUGAGAAGGCACUUUCAUACAACUCGAGAUAAAAGACGUGUCAGACCGUAAAAUGCAAACUCUCGUGUAAUACACAACACAAGGCCCAUCUCCAACGGGCAUUUGCCAUGGUUCGUGAGCAUAACCCGCAAACAGGGGUGAGUUGAACUCGAGACAUCCAGGUCACAAAAAUCCACUUCUGUUUCUUAUGUUUUUUUUAAAAAAAUUAUGUUUCAAAUGUGCGAGUUUGUGCAAAUCCACAACGUUUCAACAAACAAUUUGUCUAUCACAAAUUUGUGCAAAGUGUUGCACACUUGCUCCAGGAGUCCAAGAGUUAUAUGUACAGAUUGUUUGCAAAAAAGGAGAGAGUUAAUUAGCAGAUUUCACGAAAAAUUUAGCUACAAGGAUCAACAAAAAGAUCAGUCCAGUCUUUGUAUGCCAAUAUACACAUCCAGAAACCAAACUAGUGGUGAGUGAUGACAGCCCAACAGCAGGUCCUAAUUAAGCAAAAGAAAAAACAACUGAUGCAGAAGUUGACCUGCAACUGAACAAGGCGGAUAACUAUAUCACCGAGUUCAAGGUCUCAAGAAGGGGAAAGAAAAUACUUCCUUGGAUUGGAGAAAACGUUCUAAGCUUUGAAGUCUCAAAAGGGGCUGUGCUGGAUGUGAUAGUUAGUUCUUAAUAAAUGCUUUCACUCGGAUAGCAUUCUGCUUGAUCAUCGGGGGUGUGAUCAGCAACGAGGAAGCUGAAGCCGUCAUAGAGGUCUGCGCUGCACAUCUCGAGGUUUUCUGCCCUGAUCUUCGUUGUGAAUGGCCAGUCGUUCACGCCGGUGAAAUGGUCCAAGAUUGCCUCCGACGAACCGACGAAGCCAUUGUCCUUACUGCCCGGGUAGGAGGACACAUCUCCCGGUGGCUUUGCUGGUCAUAGU